This 492-nucleotide ribosomal RNA is filed under the name uncultured bacterium. Its description in RNAcentral is "partial 16S ribosomal RNA". It matches the Rfam family "Bacterial small subunit ribosomal RNA", at positions 29 to 507 of the family's 1533-position model. The record is from RNAcentral.
AGUGAACGCUGGCGGUAGGCCUAACACAUGCAAGUCGAACGGCAGCACAGUAAGAGCUUGCUCUUACGGGUGGCGAGUGGCGGACGGGUGAGGAAUACAUCGGAAUCUACUUUUUCGUGGGGGAUAACGUAGGGAAACUUACGCUAAUACCUCAUACGUCCUACGGGUGAAAGCAGUGGAUCUUCGGACCUUGCGCGAUUGAAUUAGCCGAUGUCGGAUUAGCUAGUUGGCGGGGUAAAGGCCCACCAAGGCGACGAUCCGUAGCUGGUCUGAGAGGAUGAUCAGCCACACUGGAACUGAGACACGGUCCAGACUCCUACGGGAGGCAGCAGUGGGGAAUAUUGGACAAUGGGCGCAAGCCUGAUCCAGCCAUACCGCGUGGGUGAAGAAGGCCUUCGGGUUGUAAAGCCCUUUUGUUGGGAAAGAAAAGCAGCAGGUUAAUACCCCGCUGUUCUGACGGUACCCAAAGAAUAAGCACCGGCUAACUUCGUG